GUCAGGGCGGCUGGGGGAAGCGGGGGCCUCAGUCCAACCCCCACUCACUCCCCUCCUACACAGGCCAGCUCGCGCAGUGUCUGUGCUCUCGGCUUCGCCUCCUCCUGCAGCCUCCUGGUGGCGCCGGCGGCUGGGAGCAUCUGGCUGUGGGGCCUGCAUGGCGACCCCAAUACCGGGGCCCUCAGGUGAGCUGGGCAGGGCAAGCUGGAUGCCUGGGUCCCUUCCUGGCCCCAUCGCUCCCUGGGGAGCGGGGGGUGGGGGAGGGCCAUGCCCUACUGACCCGGGCCACCGAGGUCCCGUUUCCCGUACCAGUCUAUGCAGCAGCUGGCCUGGGCCCCACACGGACCGCGUCUCUCUCUCUCUCUCUCUCUCUCAGCCUGGAGCGUGAGCGCCCCCUGGGGGAGGUGGCAGCUCCCGUUACCUGCAUGGGGCCAGCCGGGGCCCCCGGCUCCCUGGUCCUGGGACUGGCGAACGGGGAGGUGCUGCUGUUCAGAGUCCACCAGACGGUGCUGAAGCCCCUCUGCUUAGUCAGCCCGGACGCCUGGGUUCCAGACCCCCCUGAGUACCUGUUUGAUGUGGCUGUGACCCCAGAUGGGCGGCUUCUUCUGUGGAAGGGGGUGAAAGAACCCACCCUGUACGAACUGAGGGUGGGGGAGUCGGAGGAACUGGAGAAAUCCCGGGAGGCCAAGAUCCGCCUCUGGGAGCGGGAUGAGGACGCCGAUUCCAGCUGGUUCAGCAGGGCCUGGCUCAGCCCCGAUUCAUCCCUGCUCCUCGCCGGCUCUGACGGGAUGCUCUGGACUCGGGCUCAGUGGAGCGAGGAGGAGGAUGCAGCCGAGUCCUGGAGCAGCAAGAGGUGGCAGCAGCAGCGGGUGAGUACUCCCUGGCUGGGCCUGUCUCUGUUGGGGACCCUGUCCCGGCAGGGCCCAUCCCUCCUUCCCUGCUGGCAGCAGCCCAGUCUGCUGCACUGGGUGGGGUGCGGAUGUUUCCCUCCUUGUGUGUCAUGGGCGUGGUCAGCAGGGUCCAGAGUUAACACCCAGUGCAACGAAUGA
Molecule: long non-coding RNA, 1049 nt
Filed under: Chrysemys picta bellii (western painted turtle)
Lineage: Eukaryota; Metazoa; Chordata; Testudines; Emydidae
Description: lncRNA (ENSCPBG00000009624.1)
Source: RNAcentral